This 373-nucleotide ribosomal RNA is filed under the name Rhizobium sp. R-24333. Its description in RNAcentral is "bacterial SSU rRNA". It matches the Rfam family "Bacterial small subunit ribosomal RNA", at positions 20 to 423 of the family's 1533-position model. The record is from RNAcentral. Lineage: Bacteria; Pseudomonadati; Pseudomonadota; Alphaproteobacteria; Hyphomicrobiales; Rhizobiaceae.
UGGCUCAGAACGAACGCUGGCGGCAGGCUUAACACAUGCAAGUCGAACGCCCCGCAAGGGGAGUGGCAGACGGGUGAGUAACGCGUGGGAACAUACCCUUUCCUGCGGAAUAGCUCUGGGAAACUGGAAUUAAUACCGCAUACGCCCUACGGGGGAAAGAUUUAUCGGGGAAGGAUUGGCCCGCGUUGGAUUAGCUAGUUGGUGGGGUAAAGGCCUACCAAGGCGACGAUCCAUAGCUGGUCUGAGAGGAUGAUCAGCCACAUUGGGACUGAGACACGGCCCAAACUCCUACGGGAGGCAGCAGUGGGGAAUAUUGGACAAUGGGCGCAAGCCUGAUCCAGCCAUGCCGCGUGAGUGAUGAAGGCCUUAGGGU